RNAcentral lists this ribosomal RNA (460 nucleotides) under uncultured bacterium. Its description in RNAcentral is "partial 16S ribosomal RNA". It matches the Rfam family "Bacterial small subunit ribosomal RNA", at positions 338 to 795 of the family's 1533-position model. The record is from RNAcentral.
CCUUCGGGGCGCAGCAGUGAGGAAUAUUGGUCAAUGGGCGCGAGCCUGAACCAGCCAAGUAGCGUGAAGGAUGACUGCCCUACGGGUUGUAAACUUCUUUUAUAAAGGAAUAAAGUGAGGCACGUGUGCCUUUUUGUAUGUACUUUAUGAAUAAGGAUCGGCUAACUCCGUGCCAGCAGCCGCGGUAAUACGGAGGAUCCGAGCGUUAUCCGGAUUUAUUGGGCGUAAAGGGAACGCAGGCGGUCUUUUAAGUCUGAUGUGAAAGCCUUCGGCUUAACCGGAGUAGUGCAUUGGAAACUGGGAGACUUGAGUGCAGAAGAGGAGAGUGGAACUCCAUGUGUAGCGGUGAAAUGCGUAGAUAUUGCGCAGAACUCCGAUUGCGAAGGCAGCAUACCGGCGGCGAUCUGACGCUGAGGCACGAAAGCGUGGGUAUCGAACAGGAUUAGAUACCCGGGUAGUC